RNAcentral lists this transfer RNA (85 nucleotides) under Felis catus (domestic cat). It matches the Rfam family "tRNA". Rfam says of the family: Transfer RNA (tRNA) molecules are approximately 80 nucleotides in length. Their secondary structure includes four short double-helical elements and three loops (D, anti-codon, and T loops). The record is from Rfam by way of RNAcentral. Lineage: Eukaryota; Metazoa; Chordata; Mammalia; Carnivora; Felidae.
GCCCGGGUGGCUCAAUCGGUUAAGUGUCUGACUUCGGCUCAGGUCGUGAUCUCAGGGUUUGUGAGUUCGAGCCCCACAUCGGGCU